Scylla paramamosain (green mud crab) is the source of this 803-nucleotide long non-coding RNA. RefSeq lists it as uncharacterized. NCBI's taxonomy places the organism in Eukaryota, Metazoa, Arthropoda, Malacostraca, Decapoda, Portunidae. The record is from RefSeq and is a predicted model, not a curated record. The transcript is spliced from 3 exons.
UGCCAGGGUCAGUGGUAGGGAAGUGCUACGCACUCACCUAGCCAGGACAGGGUAGGAUGUAGGGAUGUAUGGAUCAGGGUCAGAGUGGGACACAGAGUAGGAGGUACUGUUGGUCUGUACAUUUGGAGUUGUUCUUUGAAGUUGCCAGGAUGAGUCAGGUCAAACUGGGAGACUGGGAAGUGUAGGGAGGUGCUGCACACUCACCUCCCGUGCUUCCCAGGUGGGUGGUGGUCUUUGGGGUUGUCAGGGUCAGUCAGUUGGUGUUGUUUUAUUUUUAUUAUUUAUUGUUGAUUGCCAGACUCAGUCAGUUUUAUUGAGGGGGGAGUAGGAGUUUUAUUGUUUUUGUUUUAUUUACUUAUUUUUUCAUUUAUAUUUUUUUUAUUACUUUUAUUAUUUUUUAUACCUAUAUAUAUUUUAUUCUUUUUGGUCUGGCAGUCCUUAGACUUGGGGAGAGAAGGGAAGUGCUGUGCACUCACCUCCCUUGCUCUCCCGAGGUCCGAGGUGGUAAGGAGGUUUUUAUUUAUUUUUAUUUAUUUAUUUAUCUUUAUUUAUUUAUUUAUUUUAUUUAUUUUAUUUUAUUUUUUUUUUUGCGUGGUAGGUUAGGAGACAAGGGAAGUGCUAUGCACUCACCUUAAUUCUUUAUUUAUUUAUUUUUUUCUAUCUUUUGCCUGGUAGGUUGGAAGAGAAGGGAAGUGCUAUGCACUCACCUUUAUAUUUUUAUUUUUUUUUUCCUGUUAGGUGGAGAGAAGAGAAGUGCUAUGCACUUACCUUUAUUUUAUAUAUAUAUAUAUAUAUAUAUAUAU